AUGCAGUCGACGGCAGCACGGGGGCAACCCUGGUGGCGAGUGGCGAACGGGUGAGUAAUACAUCGGAACGUGUCCUGUAGUGGGGGAUAGCCCGGCGAAAGCCGGAUUAAUACCGCAUACGCUCUGCGGAGGAAAGCGGGGGAUCCUUCGGGACCUCGCGCUACAGGGGCGGCCGAUGGCAGAUUAGCUAGUUGGUGGGGUAAAGGCCUACCAAGGCGACGAUCUGUAGCUGGUCUGAGAGGACGACCAGCCACACUGGGACUGAGACACGGCCCAGACUCCUACGGGAGGCAGCAGUGGGGAAUUUUGGACAAUGGGCGCAAGCCUGAUCCAGCAAUGCCGCGUGUGUGAAGAAGGCCUUCGGGUUGUAAAGCACUUUUGUCCGGAAAGAAAACCUCGUGGUUAAUACCCGUGGGGGAUGACGGUACCGGAAGAAUAAGCACCGGCUAACUACGUGCCAGCAGCCGCGGUAAUACGUAGGGUGCAAGCGUUAAUCGGAAUUACUGGGCGUAAAGCGUGCGCAGGCGGUUCGCUAAGACAGAUGUGAAAUCCCCGGGCUUAACCUGGGAACUGCAUUUGUGACUGGCGGUCUAGAGUAUGGCACAGGGGGGUAGAAUUCCACGUGUAGCAUUC
Molecule: ribosomal RNA, 633 nt
Filed under: Burkholderia sp. A9 13-14
Lineage: Bacteria; Pseudomonadati; Pseudomonadota; Betaproteobacteria; Burkholderiales; Burkholderiaceae
Description: bacterial SSU rRNA
Rfam family: Bacterial small subunit ribosomal RNA
Source: RNAcentral